AUUGAACGCUGGCGGCAGGCCUAACACAUGCAAGUCGAGCGGUAGAGAGGUGCUUGCAUCUCUUGAGAGCGGCGGACGGGUGAGUAAUGCCUAGGAAUCUGCCUAGUGGUGGGGGAUAACGUUCGGAAACGGACGCUAAUACCGCAUACGUCCUACGGGAGAAAGCGGGGGAUCUUCGGACCUCGCGCCAUUAGAUGAGCCUAGGUCGGAUUAGCUAGUUGGUGAGGUAAUGGCUCACCAAGGCGACGAUCCGUAACUGGUCUGAGAGGAUGAUCAGUCACACUGGAACUGAGACACGGUCCAGACUCCUACGGGAGGCAGCAGUGGGGAAUAUUGGACAAUGGGCGAAAGCCUGAUCCAGCCAUGCCGCGUGUGUGAAGAAGGUCUUCGGAUUGUAAAGCACUUAGGUUGGGAGGAAGGGUAGUAACCUAAUACGUUGCUACUUUGACGUUACCGACAG
This 460-nucleotide ribosomal RNA is filed under the name uncultured bacterium. RNAcentral describes it as "bacterial SSU rRNA". It matches the Rfam family "Bacterial small subunit ribosomal RNA", at positions 30 to 484 of the family's 1533-position model. The record is from RNAcentral.